GAUGAACGCUGGCGGCGUGCCUAAUACAUGCAAGUCGAGCGAACGGACGAGAAGCUUGCUUCUCUGAUGUUAGCGGCGGACGGGUGAGUAACACGUGGAUAACCUACCUAUAAGACUGGGAUAACUUCGGGAAACCGGAGCUAAUACCGGAUGAUAUUUUGAACCGCAUGGUUCAAAAGUGAAAGACGGUCUUGCUGUCACUUAUAGAUGGGUCCGCGCUGCAUUAGCUAGUUGGUAAGGUAACGGCUUACCAAGGCAACGAUGCAUAGCCGACCUGAGAGGGUGAUCGGCCACACUGGAACUGAGACACGGUCCAGACUCCUACGGGAGGCAGCAGUAGGGAAUCUUCCGCAAUGGGCGAAAGCCUGACGGAGCAACGCCGCGUGAGUGAUGAAGGUCUUCGGAUCGUAAAACUCUGUUAUUAGGGAAGAACAUAUGUGUAAGUAACUGUGCACAUCUUGACGGUACCUAAUCAGAAAGCCACGGCUAACUACGUG
This 497-nucleotide ribosomal RNA is filed under the name uncultured bacterium. RNAcentral's name for it is "partial 16S ribosomal RNA". It matches the Rfam family "Bacterial small subunit ribosomal RNA", at positions 28 to 507 of the family's 1533-position model. The record is from RNAcentral.